AACUUUCAACAACGGAUCUCUUGGCUCUCGCAUCGAUGAAGAACGCAGCGAAAUGCGAUAAGUAAUGUGAAUUGCAGAAUUCAGUGAAUCAUCGAAUCUUUGAACGCACCUUGCGCCCUUUGGUAUCCCGAAGGGCAUGCCUGUUUGAGUGUCAUG
This is a ribosomal RNA of 156 nucleotides. It matches the Rfam family "5.8S ribosomal RNA". From Rfam's summary of the family: 5.8S ribosomal RNA (5.8S rRNA) is a component of the large subunit of the eukaryotic ribosome.